Dermacentor andersoni is the source of this 1039-nucleotide long non-coding RNA. RefSeq lists it as uncharacterized. Lineage: Eukaryota; Metazoa; Arthropoda; Arachnida; Ixodida; Ixodidae. The record is from RefSeq and is a predicted model, not a curated record.
UCGGAUAGUAGGCGAAGUCGCAAGCCAGGAUCCGGUGAGCACAAUCGGGAAUUGGCGAAUUAUGACAAAUUUCAUUGUCGAAGUGUGACGCAACGAGGAGGUGUGCCGCACGUAAUAACGGCAUAACCCUUACCGGCACCCAUUACAUAAAUUGGAUGCGUCGGAAAGCGCUCACGUCGAAGAGAAUCGACGUGACAGAGUCGCUCAAGAACUCUCGUGUCAACGAGAGUCGUCACGACACUGUGGACUCGCGUGCAAAAUCCUGCGCCUGAUGAUUGCAAGAGCACUCCACGACACGUGAUCCUUACAGCGUAAACAUGUCGUCUGCCUCUUUGCUGAAGAGGAAAGAACGGUGCGCAUCGGAUUGCUGGCUCCCCACAUUGGCUGACACCCGCUGUAGACUCUGCGACACUGCACCGCAUUAUUGAGACCGAGUUCGCCAUCACACGCCGAACCCAACUUCUGCGCAGCGAGAUUCGUGAAGCCAGUUCUGGUCACCGUGGCGUCGAAGCAACCCUGCGGCGAAAUUCGGUCAAAAGGUGUAGAAGUUACGAUGAGUCUGAAGAUUGUACAUCAUGGCAGAUAGGAAAAUGCAGGUGUCUGCAGUGACAGUAAAAAAAAAUAAAGCGCAGAUCUGAUGCGCCGUGGGAAUCGGUGUAAGGGAAGCUUUCACCUUCUCCUGGUGACGUCGUUGAUUGCGCCGACUUAAUCGGCGCGCGUGACCCUUCAUUCUGCAUUCUCCUCUGAACCUCCGUUUCUCGCUGCCCGAUAUCUUCUCUGCACAAGCUAACUAUCUCCAGUAAUCAGUGCAUCUAAACCAUCGCAUGCUACAAAGAAAGCUACGCUUGAAAAGUAACAUUCGCGCUAAUCCCAUUAACGCAGAAAAGUUACCUCUGCAGCAACAAGUUCGUUACUAUCGUGUUUCAAACAAAAAGAAAGACGAAAAAAAGCGCUUCAUUUUCGUCUCACCUCAUUUCGCAGCCUGCGUAUUGUGGUUUCGAAAACGUAAAUGGUAAAUACCGUUGCUUGGGCUAGCGGA